CCUGGUCACAUCUCUGCAGUACACCUUGGGACCGAUGACGGGUACUUCCCUGAGGACCUCCCACGCUCCUCCCUGGUCGUCAGCCCAUGGCUGCUUCUCUCGAUUAUCCCUUGGACAAUGCAGGGAGCGCUGAGCUGGUGUGAGAAGCCUGCACCCAUCCAUCCUGUGCUGAGCCUGUGCUAGAACCCAGACCACCAUGAGUCAGAGCCCAAACUGUUAUCUUCCUGAGGUAACUGAUUAGAGAUAUUAACGCAUUAUUAGAAAGUAUAUACUGAUUGAUUUUCAGUGUUUUAAAAGAUAGUAAAUAAAAUAAGUAAUUGUUUUUCAUAGUAGAUUAGAAAAACAAAACAAAAGAACAAUUGAUAUUUUCUUUAUUUUAUUUUAUCUGAUACAUAAAACAUAAAAAUUAUACAUAGUGAUUGGGUGCCAUGGCAUGCUC
Molecule: long non-coding RNA, 439 nt
Filed under: Chinchilla lanigera (long-tailed chinchilla)
Lineage: Eukaryota; Metazoa; Chordata; Mammalia; Rodentia; Chinchillidae
Description: lncRNA (ENSCLAG00000024081.1)
Source: RNAcentral